UCUCUGCGCCUCUCCCUCUCUGCUCGAUCUAUCUCUCUACGCCUCCCUCUCUGCACCUCUCCCGCUCUGCUUGAUCUACCUCUCAGCCUCUCCCUCUCCACUCGAUCUCUCUCCCUCUUCACUCUUGAACCCUCCCCUCUCCCUCUCCUCUUGAUCUACCUCUCCCUCUCCCUCUCUCUCCCUCUUUUAUUUCUUCUUUUCUUUUGUCCAGCAGAUUAAGGAUCAUUAUGCAAUAUCAGGACACAACAGAGUAUCAAAAGUCAUUGGCACGCAAGAUGGAGGCUGGCUUGAAAGUGAAAUGUGAUAAGUUAGGUGAUGCCUUUGUAAUGGAUGAAAUGUGAUAAGUGAAAUUUCCAUUUUGUGGAUGUUUUAUAUACCAUGUUUGUUGGCUCUAGAACUUCAUGAGCUAAAGUUUGCUGAUAUUUGUUGUGAUGAAAGUCCAUGGUAAAUAGACCAUCCUGAUGUGAUAAUAACUGAUCCUGAGUUCAAACUGUCUCAAUCCCACAUAACAAUAAUUAACUUUCAUAACUUGCAGUAGCUUCAAGAUGAUCUGCAAAAGUUGGGAUUGAAGAUCAAGCAUCAUGAGGACAACCUGAAAUUUCUAAAGACUCAAACAAACAACUUAGGAUGAAUCCAUUUUUGAUAUGCAAGCUGAUAGAGAGCAUGGCCUGCAACCUUUCAUGUAAAGCUGCACCUUCCAACUUGUACAUGCACUUGGACUCUCUCAUCUAUUCUUUGAAUAUUUGGUAUUGCUUGUCUUCUCAAUUGGGUCUCAUUUUGAACUUCUACAUGCACUUGGAUACUCUCAUAUCUGGCUUUUUGGAAAUUGGGUAUUGUUGGUAUUCUCAAUUGGGUCUUGCAUUUUGAAUGUCUACAUGCACUUGAACUCUCCCAUAUAUGGUUUUUCGGGUAUUGCUGGUUUUCUCAACUGGUUUUUCGAGUGUUUUUCUUGUUCAUUCUGGUUUUGAAGAAGUUGUGGUUUGUUUAAUUAUAGUUAAUGUGUUUAUGGUGUUGGAAAGAAUGUAUGAUCUGGAGCAAGGCAUCAUGUAUCCAAACAUCUGGAUUGAUGGCAAGAGAAUUGAAUGAGGUGCUGAAGAUGAGAUGAUCCAUCAAGUGGACAAGAUAUUGAACCUUGUUGAUGUUCAAUGUCAUAUAUGAGAUGAUUUCAACAAGAACAAUCCUCAAUGAUUCGAAGAAAGAUUUCAAUAGACCUUCAAUGAAUGCUUCUACAGAAGCAAUUUGUGAGAAUUUUAGUAUACCAGUAGAAUGGGAUCUUUUUAUUAAAAUUUUGACCAACCGGAGAAAAAAUGUCUCAAAUUAUUUGGCUAAAUGGUAAGUGAUCAUCCUUAUGUUAAUCACAGUGAAUUUAUCUGUGCUUUAUUCUUUCUGAUGCUAUUGCUAAAUUAAGUUCUGUUUGACAAAAUGUUGUAGCCAUUAGUUAGUUGAUUCUCAGAAUCAUGGAAUAUGCGACUUUGCAAGUGCCUACUUAUUUUCUCCGUCAAAACUUUCUUCUUGUGAAUUGGUAGGAUGGACCUCCAUUUUCUUUGAAAGCAUUCCUCAACAGCAAAAUGAUGAUGGUGUUUGAACUUACUGCCAACAGGCGGUUCCAGGUUGUUCCAUUCUCCCGGUCUCCUUAGGCUAUAUACAUGGUUUGUGGUGUAAGCUUCUGUCAUGGGAGAAUAGUUCUCGAAGGCCUGCAAUGUGUAAAGGCUAAGAUGGCUAGGCCAUGUAUGUGUUCAUUUCUUCUUAUCAUUUGGUCAGGUGUGCCUUGUCCUUCUUAACUGGCCAAAUGAUGUAUUUGGUAAUGUUGUUUAAGUUAGCUCGUUGUUGUUGUUGAUGACGAUGAUGAUGAUGAUGCUUGUGUUUCAUGUUAUCCUAUAUUAGACAUAUUUCAUUCCUGCAUGCUGUUUCAUGCUAUCCUAUAUACUGACAAUUUUCUUUUACUCCACAGACUUCUGCCCAUGUCUGUUUGAUAACAGAUUUUUGCCCAAGUGGGGAGCUAUUUGCUUUGCUUGACAAACAGCCUAUGAAGAUUUUCAAAGAGGAAGCUGCAAGGUAUCUUCAAUGAGUAAUUCAAUAAUUCCCUCAAUUUUGAGACUUCGACCAAGAAUGGUUCUUCACGGUUGCCAUGCCAAUUUUUUUAAAAUUUUUUUUUUCAGUUGAUAAUUGGAUAUUUCAAGGUUGUUCUUGC
Molecule: long non-coding RNA, 2191 nt
Organism: Magnolia sinica
Lineage: Eukaryota; Viridiplantae; Streptophyta; Magnoliopsida; Magnoliales; Magnoliaceae
Exons: 4
Source: RefSeq, a predicted model, not a curated record